AUUGAACGCUGGCGGCAGGCCUAACACAUGCAAGUCGAGCGGAUGAAGGGUGCGUGCUCCUGGAUUCAGCGGCGGACGGGUGAGUAAUGCCUAGGAACCUGCCUGGUAGUGGGGGAUAACGUCCGGAAACGGGCGCUAAUACCGCAUACGUCCUGAGGGAGAAAGUGGGGGAUCUUCGGACCUCACGCUCUCAGAUGAGCCUAGGUCGGAUUAGCUAGUUGGUGGGGUAAAGGCCUACCAAGGCGACGAUCCGUAACUGGUCUGAGAGGAUGAUCAGUCACACUGGAACUGAGACACGGUCCAGACUCCUACGGGAGGCAGCAGUGGGGAAUAUUGGACAAUGGGCGAAAGCCUGAUCCAGCCAUGCCGCGUGUGUGAAGAAGGUCUUCGGAUUGUAAAGCACUUUAAGUUGGGAGGAAAGGCAGUAAGUUAAUACCUUGCUGUUUUGACGUUACCAACAGAAUAAGCACCGGCUAACUUCGUG
This 484-nucleotide ribosomal RNA is filed under the name uncultured bacterium. RNAcentral describes it as "partial 16S ribosomal RNA". It matches the Rfam family "Bacterial small subunit ribosomal RNA", at positions 30 to 507 of the family's 1533-position model. The record is from RNAcentral.